This 669-nucleotide ribosomal RNA is filed under the name Fictibacillus nanhaiensis. Its description in RNAcentral is "bacterial SSU rRNA". It matches the Rfam family "Bacterial small subunit ribosomal RNA", at positions 48 to 701 of the family's 1533-position model. The record is from RNAcentral. Lineage: Bacteria; Bacillati; Bacillota; Bacilli; Caryophanales; Fictibacillaceae.
GCUAUACAUGCAGUCGAGCGAAUGACGAGGAGCUUGCUCCUCUGAUUUAGCGGCGGACGGGUGAGUAACACGUGGGUAAUCUGCCUGUAAGACGGGGAUAACUCCGGGAAACCGGGGCUAAUACCGGAUAAUAAGAGAAGAAGCAUUUCUUCUUUUUGAAAGUCGGUUUCGGCUGACACUUACAGAUGAGCCCGCGGCGCAUUAGCUAGUUGGUGAGGUAACGGCUCACCAAGGCGACGAUGCGUAGCCGACCUGAGAGGGUGAUCGGCCACACUGGGACUGAGACACGGCCCAGACUCCUACGGGAGGCAGCAGUAGGGAAUCUUCGGCAAUGGGCGAAAGCCUGACCGAGCAACGCCGCGUGAGCGAUGAAGGCCUUCGGGUCGUAAAGCUCUGUUGUUAGAGAAGAACAAGUACGAGAGUAACUGCUCGUACCUUGACGGUACCUAACCAGAAAGCCACGGCUAACUACGUGCCAGCAGCCGCGGUAAUACGUAGGUGGCAAGCGUUAUCCGGAAUUAUUGGGCGUAAAGCGCGCGCAGGCGGUCUCUUAAGUCUGAUGUGAAAGCCCACGGCUCAACCGUGGAGGGUCAUUGGAAACUGGGAGACUUGAGUGCAGGAGAGAAAAGUGGAAUUCCACGUGUAGCGGUGAAAUGCGUAGAGAUGUGG